GCUUACACAUGCAAGUCGAGUGCGCGCUUGUAGCAAUACAAGUGGCGCACGGCGCACGGGUGCGUAACACGUGGGUAACCUGCCCUUUGGUGGGGAAUAACCUCGCGAAAGCGAGGCUAAUUCCGCAUAAGAUCCGCAAGGAUGAAAGCCGCAAGGCGCCGAAGGAGGGGCCCGCGCACGAUUAGUUAGUUGGUAGGGUAACGGCCUACCAAGACUAUGAUCGUUAGCUGGUCUGAGAGGAUGGCCAGCCACACUGGAACUGAGACACGGUCCAGACUCCUACGGGAGGCAGCAGUGGGGAAUCUUGCGCAAUGGGCGAAAGCCUGACGCAGCGACGCCGCGUGGGGGAUGAAGCUUCUCGGAGUGUAAACCCCUUUCGACUGGGACGAAUACCUCCCAAGAGGGGUGACGGUACCAGUUAGAAGAAGCCCCGGCUAACUACGUGCCAGCAGCCGCGG
This 458-nucleotide ribosomal RNA is filed under the name uncultured bacterium. RNAcentral describes it as "bacterial SSU rRNA". It matches the Rfam family "Bacterial small subunit ribosomal RNA", at positions 46 to 520 of the family's 1533-position model. The record is from RNAcentral.